AAGCGUUUAUGACCAGACUUGGGCUUGGUUAAUCAUCUGGGGUUCUCCCCAGUGCACUUUUCCAGUCCAGGCCAGCAUCAGUUCGCCCUGGGGGAUAAAGGCUUCGGGAAUGUGGCUCUCUCCGGGGAGUGUUAUAGCCCGCUGCGUAAUACCCUGUGGCGGACUGAGGUUCGCGCUCUGCAAGGAUGCUGGCGUAAUGGUCAUCAACGA
This 210-nucleotide ribosomal RNA is filed under the name Fusarium sp. RNAcentral's name for it is "partial large subunit ribosomal RNA". The record is from RNAcentral. Lineage: Eukaryota; Fungi; Ascomycota; Sordariomycetes; Hypocreales; Nectriaceae.